AGAGGAGCGACUGCACGAGAUGAUAAAGUGUAAUCAGCUCGAGCAGCAGCUCAGUGACGAGGCGUCGCUGUGAGUUUCUUUAUAACCUUAAAGCUCCAAACACAACAUCUCAGAUCUGCAGUGGAUAUUAACCCUCUUCAGCUCGUCUCAAGAGAAUUAAACAUCAGGACAAAAGAGAAAGAGGAAAAUGGCAAAGAAAGAGGACGAGAUACAAACUAAAGAUCCAGGAGAGAAACAGAUCCCGAGACGAGUCAGACGAACCAGCAUUAACAGUGGAGCACCAAACUUUUCUCAUGAUCCAGAGGUUGAGUCUGACGAUUCAGAGACGCUCACAGAUGAGAAAGCUGUGGUUCCUGUCGUCUCACCAGCAGAAAAUUCUUCAUCAUGUUCAGUCACUGAAUGAGGGUUAGUGUGCACUACAUCCAGAAAGUAUUCACAGCGCUUCACUUUUUCUAGCCUUAUUCCAAAAUGGAUUAAUGGACAAACAAUACCCCAUAAUGGCAACGUGAAAGAAGUUUGUUUCAAAUCUUUGCAAAUUUAUUAAAAAUAAAUAACGAAAAAAAAUCACAUGUAGUCACAGCCUUAAAAUUGAGCUCAGGUGCUCCUGUUUCCACUGAUCAUCCUUGAGAUGUUUCUACAACUUGACUGGAGUCCACCUGUGCUAAAUUCAGUUGAUUGGACAUGAUUUGGAAAGGCACACACCUGUCUAUAUAAGGUCCCACGGUUAGAUGGCAUGCAGCAAUGUACAGAGACAUCCUUGAUGAAAACCUGCUCUAGAGCGCUCUGGACCUUAGACUGGGGUGAAGGUUUCUCUUCCAACAGGACAACGACCCUAAGCACACAGCCAAGAUAACAAAGGAGUGGCUACGGGACAACUCUGUGAAUGUCCAGACUUGAACCCGAUUGAACAUCUCUGGAGAGAUCUGAAAAUGGCUGCACACCGACACUCCCCAUCUAACCUGAUUUAGCUUGAGAGGUCCUGCAAAUAAGAAGAAUGGUAGGAACUGCCCAAAAAUAGGUGUGCCAAGCUUGUAGCAUCAUACUCAAAAAGACUUGAGGCUGGAAAUGGUGCCAAAGGUGCUUCAACAAAGUAUUGAGCAAAGGCUGUGAAUACUUUUGUACAUGUGAUUUUUGUAAUUUUUAAUAAAUUUGCAAAGAUUUCAAACAAACUUCUUUCACGUUGUCAUUAUGGGGUAUUGUUUGUAGAAUUUUGAGGAAAAUAAUGUAUUUAAUCCAUUGUGGAAUAAGGCUAUAACAUAACAAAAUGUGGAAAAAUUGAAGUGCUGUGAAUACUUUCCGGAUGCACUGUAAUAUUGUACUGGACAUGAUAUUGUAAAUCUAUUACUAGAAUUAAUUGUAAAUAUGAAUUAGAUUUAUUUUUUAAUGAAAUUAGUUUCACUAAAAAAACAAAAAACAAAAUAUGUACUGCUCUAGAAGAAUAAACCUGAUUGAAAUGUUCAGAACAUAAAUAGAUAAAAAUCUUGAAACUUAAA
This is a long non-coding RNA of Ctenopharyngodon idella (grass carp), 1493 nucleotides long. RefSeq lists it as uncharacterized. The transcript has 4 exons. The record is from RefSeq and is a predicted model, not a curated record. NCBI's taxonomy places the organism in Eukaryota, Metazoa, Chordata, Actinopteri, Cypriniformes, Xenocyprididae.